Molecule: ribosomal RNA, 326 nt
Filed under: uncultured eukaryote
Lineage: Eukaryota
Description: partial 18S ribosomal RNA
Rfam family: Eukaryotic small subunit ribosomal RNA
Source: RNAcentral
CCCUUAGAUGUCCUGGGCCGCACGCGCGCUACACUGAACGGAUCAGCGCGUUUUCCCUUCCCGAGAGGGACGGGUAACCUGCUGAACCCCGUUCGUGGUAGGGAUCGGGGCUUGCAAUUAUUCCCCGUGAACCAGGAAUUCCCAGUAAGUGCAAGUCAUAAGCUUGCGUUGAUUACGUCCCUGCCCUUUGUACACACCGCCCGUCGCUACUACCGAUUGAACGUUUUAGUGAGGUACUCGGACUGAGCCUCAGAAGAUUCACGUCUUUUGUGCUGCUCGGGAAGAUUCCCAAACUUGAGCGUUUAGAGGAAGUAAAAGUCGUAACA